AAACAGACSAAUUAASGCUUAACGAGCGAGACCUGGGCGUGCUAAAUAGGGUUCAUUAUUCUUGUAAUAGUGAUUCAACUCUUCUUAGACGGACUGUAGGCUUUUAGUCUAUGGAAGCUCCAGGCAACAGGUCUGUG
This 137-nucleotide ribosomal RNA is filed under the name uncultured Polysiphonia sp. Its description in RNAcentral is "partial small subunit ribosomal RNA". The record is from RNAcentral. Lineage: Eukaryota; Rhodophyta; Florideophyceae; Ceramiales; Rhodomelaceae.